RNAcentral lists this ribosomal RNA (271 nucleotides) under uncultured bacterium. RNAcentral's name for it is "partial 16S ribosomal RNA". It matches the Rfam family "Bacterial small subunit ribosomal RNA", at positions 524 to 794 of the family's 1533-position model. The record is from RNAcentral.
UACGUAGGGUGCGAGCGUUAAUCGGAAUUACUGGGCGUAAAGGGCGCGUAGGCGGUCUAUCAAGUCAGGCGUGAAAUUCCCGGGCUCAACCUGGGGGCUGCGCUUGAUACUGAUGGACUUGAAUGCGGGAGAGGAUAGUGGAAUUCCCAGUGUAGAGGUGAAAUUCGUAGAUAUUGGGAAGAACACCAGUGGCGAAGGCGGCUAUCUGGCCCGUGAUUGACGCUGAGGCGCGAAAGCGUGGGGAGCAAACAGGAUUAGAUACCCGGGUAGU